This 339-nucleotide unclassified non-coding RNA is filed under the name soil metagenome. Its description in RNAcentral is "partial contains 5.8S ribosomal RNA, internal transcribed spacer 2, and large subunit ribosomal RNA". The stretch from base 1 to 120 matches the Rfam family "5.8S ribosomal RNA", at positions 35 to 154 of the family's 154-position model. The record is from RNAcentral.
GAUGAAGAACGUAGCGAAAUGCGAUAAGUAAUGCGAAUUGCAGAAUUCCGUGAGUCAUCGAAUCUCUGAACGCACAUUGCGCCCUCUGGUAUUCCGGAGGGCAUGCCUGUCUGAGCGUCAUUGUCAACCCUCAAGCUCAGCUUGCUGUUGGGUCCCCGUCGUUGCUUUAACGGCGGACCCGAAAGGUAAUGGCAGAGUCCGUGAGACCCUAGACGCAGCGAGCUUCUAGCACGCGUCUGGACGUUUUUCGGGCUCGGUCUUAACUAGAUGAUAACUUCCGAUUGACCUCAGAUCAGGUAGGGAUACCCGCUGAACUUAAGCAUAUCAAUAAGCGGAGGA